CUGGAUCCUCUUCACUCUGGCUUGCUGAUAGUUUUAUCUUGCAGCAUUAUUCUGAACGUUGCUCUCAUUUGUAUAAGAUGUAAACUGACCUGUACACACUGUGCAGAUGAAAAGAACAGUGAUAUAUCAAAAGUGGAAUGGUCACGCAAGCAAUGCCAUGACGAGGACACACUGAAUUACGCUGCCCUGAACCUUAAGAAGCCAAAACCCAGGAGACAGAAGAAAGACGGGAAUAAUGACACUCUGUAUUCUGACCUCCGCUACAGAGAUUAUGAAUAAAGAUGCUUCUCAUUCAUGUCAGUCACACAGAGUGUUCAGGGUGUAGCUUUAAUAAUGUUCAGAGGAGGGCAGGGGAGCCAGUGCUUCUGAGACUGAAUCACGGGAUUUUACGGAGCACCGGUGCUGAGUUUGGUGUCAGUGUGUUUGGGGCGCAUUUUUACUGGAAGUGCAAAUGUUCAAGCCAGACU
Long non-coding RNA from Brienomyrus brachyistius, 467 nucleotides. RefSeq lists it as uncharacterized. NCBI's taxonomy places the organism in Eukaryota, Metazoa, Chordata, Actinopteri, Osteoglossiformes, Mormyridae. The transcript is spliced from 3 exons. The record is from RefSeq and is a predicted model, not a curated record.